GGGCGCGUGGCCUAGCCUGGACAUGGCGCUGCCCUUCUAAGGCAGACAGCACGGGUUCGAAUCCCGUCGCGUCCG
RNAcentral lists this transfer RNA (75 nucleotides) under Thermoplasmatota archaeon. RNAcentral describes it as "Candidatus Thermoplasmatota archaeon tRNA-Arg". It matches the Rfam family "tRNA". Rfam says of the family: Transfer RNA (tRNA) molecules are approximately 80 nucleotides in length. Their secondary structure includes four short double-helical elements and three loops (D, anti-codon, and T loops). Further hydrogen bonds mediate the characteristic L-shaped molecular structure. tRNAs have two regions of fundamental functional importance: the anti-codon, which is responsible for specific mRNA codon recognition, and the 3' end, to which the tRNAs corresponding amino acid is attached (by aminoacyl-tRNA synthetases). tRNAs cope with the degeneracy of the genetic code in two manners: having more than one tRNA (with a specific anti-codon) for a particular amino acid; and 'wobble' base-pairing, i.e. permitting non-standard base-pairing at the 3rd anti-codon position. The record is from RNAcentral. Lineage: Archaea; Methanobacteriati; Thermoplasmatota. RNAcentral also lists the same sequence under 1 other name.